Molecule: ribosomal RNA, 440 nt
Filed under: uncultured bacterium
Lineage: Bacteria
Description: partial 16S ribosomal RNA
Rfam family: Bacterial small subunit ribosomal RNA
Source: RNAcentral
CCUACGGGAGGCAGCAGUGGGGAAUAUUGGACAAUGGGGGAAACCCUGAUCCAGCGACGCCGCGUGAGUGAAGAAGUAUUUCGGUACGUAAAGCUCUAUCAGCAGGAAAGAAAAUGACGGUACCUGACUAAGAAGCCCCGGCUAACUACGUGCCAGCAGCCGCGGUAAUACGUAGGGGGCAAGCGUUAUCCGGAUUUACUGGGUGUAAAGGGAGCGUAGACGGCAGGGCAAGUCUGGAGUGAAAUGCCGGGGCUCAACCCCGGAACUGCUCUGGAAACUGUGAAGCUGGAGUGCAGGAGAGGUAAGCGGAAUUCCUGGUGUAGCGGUGAAAUGCGUAGAUAUCAGGAGGAACACCGGCGGGGAAGGCGGCUUACUGGACUGUAACUGACGUUGAGGCUCGGAGGCGUGGGGAGCAAACAGGAUUAGAUACCCGAGUAGUC